This 494-nucleotide ribosomal RNA is filed under the name uncultured bacterium. Its description in RNAcentral is "partial 16S ribosomal RNA". It matches the Rfam family "Bacterial small subunit ribosomal RNA", at positions 28 to 507 of the family's 1533-position model. The record is from RNAcentral.
GACGAACGCCGGCGGCGUGCUUAACACAUGCAAGUCGAACGGUGAAGCGCCUUCCUUUUUGGUGGGUGUGGAUGAGUGGCGAACGGGUGAGUAACACGUGAGUAACCUGCCCCCUUCUUCUGGAUAACCGCAUGAAAGUGUGGCUAAUACGGGAUAUUCUGGGUCUGUCGCAUGAUGGGUCUGGGAAAGAUAUUGUUUCGGUGGGGGAUGGGCUCGCGGCCUAUCAGCUUGUUGGUGGGGUGAUGGCCUACCAAGGCGGUGACGGGUAGCCGGCCUGAGAGGGUGGACGGUCACACUGGGACUGAGACACGGCCCAGACUCCUACGGGAGGCAGCAGUGGGGAAUAUUGCACAAUGGGCGCAAGCCUGAUGCAGCGACGCCGCGUGAGGGAUGGAGGCCUUCGGGUUGUGAACCUCUUUCGCCAGUGAAGCAGGCCUGCCUCGUUUGUGGGUGGGUUGACGGUAGCUGGAUAAGAAGCGCCGGCUAACUACGUG